Molecule: long non-coding RNA, 2423 nt
Filed under: Salmo salar (Atlantic salmon)
Lineage: Eukaryota; Metazoa; Chordata; Actinopteri; Salmoniformes; Salmonidae
Description: lncRNA (ENSSSAG00000092244.1)
Source: RNAcentral
UAACUUGCCUUCCAACAAAAUGUCCUCUUUAGCUUCACACGCAACAUCAGAAUGUCAGCUGUCAAAAUGUAAACCCAACUAUCUAGACGAGUUGGUCAAACACCUGUACAAGAUACAACAAAGGUUUUCCACAAUAAGCAGGCCACUCCUCCUUCCAUCUCCAAUGGGCUUUGGGAAAGGUAUAAAAGCGCCACAACCAUCUUCUGCGUCAGGACCAGUUGAAGUGCAAUAUUGAAGCCUGUACUGUACGAUUCAGGAUCCAGACUCUAACCUCAAGGCAUGUUGACCAGGAAUUUUCUCAUCCUCUGCUCUCUGGCAGUUCUGCUAGUACAAGCUGACUUCGAUACUAAUAACAAUCAUGCUGCCCAAGCCAUGUCCACAGAUAAGGACUCAACCUCGGAGGAAGCUCCAACUGAGAGCAUAAAUGCCAUCUCCUCGGAUCAGCCUAACGAUAAACCACAGUAUUACAAUGAGGGAUUGCUGCUCCUAAACCUAAUGGCGUCACUGGACCUGGUAGGUAUCCUUUUGUUAUGUGUAGGAAUAUAACCCGUAGACCUAUGGGUUCCAUUUAGUCUCAAAUGUAUGCCUGGGGAGAAGAAAAUAACAUUACUAUGAAUGUGCUUUCAUUCCUUAUUGUAGGUGUUGCAGCAAACAGUGUUGAGGACCAGGAGGGUAAGAGACCAUAUUCAAACAGGGACGCACCAUGCACACACACACACACACACACACACACACACACACACACACACACACACACACACACACACACACACACACACACACACACACACACACACAUUUUUUUAAUUGUUUAUUUUAAGUCAUUUAGCAGACGCUCUUAUCCAGAGUGACUUACAGUUAGUGCAUUCAUCUUAAGAUAGCUAGGUGGUCACAACCACUUAUCACAGGCAUAGUAAGUACACUUUUCCUCAAUAAAGUAGUUAUUAGCAAAGUCAGAGCUAGUAACGGGGAAAAGUCAAGUGUGAGUCUUAGUGUGUUGGGCAUGAGGAGGGGGUGCGAGGGGGGGUGCUGUGGGAUUAUUUAAAAUACUCUUCGAAGAGGAGUGAGAGGGCCAAAAGACCAGAGGUGGCAGACACACACACACACACACACACACACACACACACACGUUUGUUUUGCUAUCCUUGUGGGGCUCAAACAAUUGAUUCCCAUUCAAAAUCGUAAUCUACCUAACCCCUAACCCUAAACCAAACCCCUAAGCCUAAAAUAGCCCUUUUCCAUGUUUUACUAUCCUUGUGGGGACGAGAAACACACUCACACACACACUUUUUCAACACAAAUCAUAAAUACCUCACAUGAAUCAUUCCAGAUAUUUUAAGUGGACAAAAAUGAUGAAUAUUGAACCAAUCAAAUGUGUCUAAUGUUCCACAAUUAAGUUUAACAUUUCCUUAUCUUUCAGAGGAUGAAAGCUCAGAUGAAGGUCUGAAAAAAAAUUAUGUUCCUCCUCCUCCUCCUCCUACGCCUCCUCCUCCUCCUCCUCCUACUCCUGCUCCACAACAAAACUCAGGAAAGUUAGUUGGGCCAGCAGGUGGGAACCGGAGAAAGGCCCCAGCCCCACAACAAAAGAGGAGAUCACGACCCUCCCGCCGUCAGCAGUGAAAUGCCAAAAAGACACACAGAGGCAAACAUUUACUUUUAGUUAAUUGCAUAGAAGAAGAAACAUAUUGUAUCCAAUUACUGUAUAUGCCAUAACAUGAACGUGUACAGAACCGUACUCGCAUGAUGAAGCUGCUUUGAUGUAUCUUGAGCAGCAGAACAGUCAGCAAGACAUGACAUAUUGUUUACUGUUACGUCUGUGGAAAAACUCAGUGGUAUGUUCAAUACAAACUCAUGGGCAUUUCUCUGUGAAUAAAAUGUAGGAUUAAAUGAACAAUGUAUUGUGAUGACAUAAAACCAGGCCUAAUAUCAUAACUGACCUUGACAUUAAGAGCCGCUGAAACUGCUCUAAAUUCACCAACCUGUUUCAAAAUAGCAAGGACCUCACUCCCAUGAAAAUACCUCAAUUUCUAAAAGAGCGCACACAUCGCACCAAAUGUCGAUCGCCGUUCGUUCGGCGUGGUGUGUUUUAUGGACCACUUGCCGGUGGGCGUCUGACUGCCAACAUUUUCGCGUGGUUUGCACUCGGUUUGCAAAUUACAGCUGGCACUCUGUUCAGAGGUGCUAAGUACUCUCGGCUGGCAAACGCUACCGGUGUGUCAGUGCCUUUAGAGAGACUCUUGCUAUUUUGAUCAUGAGCCAGUUGGUGGAAAUAUGGAGUUACAAACUAGCAAUACAAACUGUUGUUAGCUAAAGUGAAAAGACUAGAUAUUCUUUACAGAAAAAGGCUAAAGAAACCCCAUAAUUUCUCUCAGAGUUGAGGAGGAUACCUUUGACUGAUGCUGCCUACCCAAAGACUGUUAUAC